AACCGGGUUUAGGUUCCACCGAUCA
RNAcentral lists this non-coding RNA (25 nucleotides) under Arabidopsis thaliana (thale cress). The record is from RNAcentral. Lineage: Eukaryota; Viridiplantae; Streptophyta; Magnoliopsida; Brassicales; Brassicaceae.